UACGUAGGGGGCGAGCGUUAUUCGGAAUUACUGGGUGUAAAGGGUAUGUAGGCGGCCUCACAAGUCGCGUGUAAAAGUCCAGCGCUCAACGCUGGGUUCGCACGUGAUACUGUCAGGCUUGAGGGCUGGAGAGGUGAGCGGAAUUCCCGGUGUAGUGGUAAAAUACGUAGAUAUCGGGAGGAACACCAGCGGCGUAGGCGGCUCACUAGACAGUUUCUGACGCUAAGAUACGAAAGCGUGGGGAGCAAACAGG
This 253-nucleotide ribosomal RNA is filed under the name uncultured bacterium. Its description in RNAcentral is "partial 16S ribosomal RNA". It matches the Rfam family "Bacterial small subunit ribosomal RNA", at positions 524 to 776 of the family's 1533-position model. The record is from RNAcentral.